Molecule: long non-coding RNA, 1293 nt
Organism: Bombus pyrosoma
Lineage: Eukaryota; Metazoa; Arthropoda; Insecta; Hymenoptera; Apidae
Exons: 2
Source: RefSeq, a predicted model, not a curated record
AAAAAUAUGUACAAUUUGUACCAUUAACAUCUAUGGAGCUACGGCGGUCUACGUUUUGAUCAUUGAAACGGAACAUUUACUCUAAGAUCUUGAUUGAUUCAAGGAAAAGAAAGAAAAAAAUAGUAUGAAGAUGCGUCGAAAGCAUAAAUCGCUGAUCGAUUUACGUUAAACUUUGGCUAACGUUAAGGCGUCAAGCUUGCGUCUUUUUGUGAAUUCUCAUCUUCGAUGCAGCCAUAUAUGAAGAACUGUUAUAAGAAUUAUUCCCUUCUUAUCGUAAACUUUGGAUAGAAUGCUGCAACGGAUGAAGCAGACAGCUAACGAACAUCUAUUCUCCUCUUGAUCAUCUGGGACGACUGUGAGAAACGAGGACGACGAUGAAAGCUGCAUUGCUUUGGAAUCUCAACGCAGUUUCAAGGACGAAGAAGCAAAACGAGGUGAAUUUUCCCCUUUCAGGAUGGAUAUCAAUCAGGUCACUUCGGAGCACUUCCUGAAGAGACUUUUACCGACAUCCUCUUCUACUGAUGUCCGGAUACUACGUCGUGUGAGAUUGCUGAGACUGUGACAGCUUGCUGGAACUUUUGUGAUGGCUAGACGUGUGUUUCUCCUGAAAAUACAAAGAGAACUGUGGUACUCCAAUCCUUUUAUAAUACCUCAAAAGAAAUUGUUUAAAAAACUAAUAAUAAAUUGAUCGAUAUUUAUACAGUUUCGUCGAAAUAAAAUCAAGUAAAUUCUCUAUUUCCUUGGUAGAAUGUUUCAGAAUUAUUUGAUGUUGUUGGUUUACUCCUUAUUUGAUCAUUAAACGUUGAAAUUCCUUUCCGUUAUCUUUUCUUCUUUUCUUGUCGAUCAUAAAAGAAACAGAUGAGGAAUACGCUAAUUUACGUCAGCCUAUUAUAGAAAUUGAAUUAAAAGAAAUGAAUAUUAAUAAGAUAUGCUGAUUAAACAAUUGCAAUUCCAUUUUUCGUGGCGACGCAUAAUUUAGGAAUUAAUGAAUAAACACGUAUUCCUCGAUGCAUGUUUCAGACACGUGAUAAGUGUUCGUAUAGCUAUAUGAAUGAGUUACAGGUAUUCAGUUAAAAUAAUUAUGGAUCCUAAUUACUGUUUUUAAAAAAAGACGCAAAUAAAUUCCAAUUUUAUGGACACGACUAACUGAGAAUUAAAUCGAGAAACAUCAAGUGACUUCAUGAACGAAUGAUAUUAAAGCUUCUAUACGGAAUGCGGAUGAAUAUUAUGUAUAUUCAAAAAGACCAAAUAAAAAAGUGUAAUAAAGUCAAAUAAACGUCAUAGUAUUGCUAA